GGCGACCGCUUUUGGAGUUCGAUUAAGCCAUGCGAGUAGAAAGAAAUUAGAUUCUUUGCAAACUGCUCAGUAACACGUGGAUAACCUGCCCUAUGCUCCGGAAUAACCUCGGGAAACCGAGAAUAAUACCGGAUAGAUCACAACGCCUGGAACGGUGUGUGGUUCAAAGGUUACGGCAUAGGAUGGGUCUGCGGCGUAUCAGGUCGUAGGGGGUGUAAAGGACCUCCUAGCCAUCGACGCGUACGGGUGUUGGGAGACAUAGCCCGGAGAUGGAUUCUGAGACACGAAUCCAGACCCUACGGGGUGCAGCAGGCGCGAAAACUUCACACUGCAGGAAACUGUGAUGAGGGAACUCCAAGUGCGCGCACUUAUGUGUGCGCUUUUCUUGACUAUUAAUCGGUCUUGGAAUAAGGGCUGGGAAAGACCGGUGCCAGCCGCCGCGGUAAUACCGGCAGCUCAAGUGGUCGUCGCUUUUAUUGGGCCUAAAACGUCCGUAGCCUGUUUGGUAAAUCUGUGGGUAAAUCAACCAGCUUAACUGGUUGAAUUCUGCAGAGACUGCCAGACUAGGGACCGGGAGAGGUGUGGGGUACUCUAGGGGUAGGGGUAAAAUCCUGUCAUCCUUAGAGGACCACCAGUUGCGAAGGCGCCACACUGGAACGGAUCCGACGGUCAGGGACGAAGCCUAGGGGCACGAACCGGAUUAGAUACCCGGGUAGUCCUAGGUGUAAACGCUGUGAACUUGGUGUCGGGAGUCCGCAAUGGGCCCCCGGUGCCGGAGUGAAGAUGUUAAGUUCACUGCCUGGGGAGUACGGUCGCAAGGCUGAAACUUAAAGGAAUUGGCGGGGGAGCACUGCAACGGGAGGAGCGUGCGGUUU
This 875-nucleotide ribosomal RNA is filed under the name uncultured archaeon. RNAcentral's name for it is "bacterial SSU rRNA". It matches the Rfam family "Archaeal small subunit ribosomal RNA", at positions 21 to 903 of the family's 1478-position model. The record is from RNAcentral.